AACCUAGCACACCUGCGGUGUGUACCUGCGGAGGGAUCAUUACCGAGUUUACAACUCCCAAACCCAAUGUGAACCAUACCAAACUGUUGCCUCGGCGGGGUCACGCCCCGGGUGCGUCGCAGCCCCGGAACCAGGCGCCCGCCGGAGGGACCAACCAAACUCUUUACUGUAGUCCCCUCGCGGACGUUAUUUCUUACAGCUCUGAGCAAAAAUUCAAAAUGAAUCAAAACUUUUAACAAC
RNAcentral lists this unclassified non-coding RNA (240 nucleotides) under soil metagenome. Its description in RNAcentral is "partial contains 5.8S ribosomal RNA, internal transcribed spacer 2, and large subunit ribosomal RNA". The record is from RNAcentral.